GUAACUCCCAGGGGACAUUAAUAAAUAGGACUGUGAUAAGCACCAUACAUUCCACGGGUAUUCUACUAUUUGAUGCAUGUAAGGCGAUUUCGGGUAGUGGAAGACUUUGGAAUGUAUGUGGUAUUCUUAAAUGGGAACGAACUUAUGGGUUUAAUGAUAAAUACUUAUGUCCCAGUAAAAGAUCUACUGAUCCUGAUUGCCCAAAUAGAGACUAACUUCUGCCCCUAUUGGUCAUGUGUAGGUUGGGCAACCUGGGAAAAACAGUGGAUCAAGAUAUGAUUAUCCAAAGGUUGCCUACCACACCAUACUGUAAAACUAUGUGUGUAACCUCGUUCACAUGACCAUUUCCAAUCUGCAGUACUUUAUUGACAGGUUUGGAGGUCUGUUUGGGUUCCAAAUAUAUGGCACAG
Molecule: long non-coding RNA, 410 nt
Filed under: Pelobates cultripes (western spadefoot toad)
Lineage: Eukaryota; Metazoa; Chordata; Amphibia; Anura; Pelobatidae
Source: RNAcentral